RNAcentral lists this ribosomal RNA (495 nucleotides) under uncultured bacterium. RNAcentral describes it as "partial 16S ribosomal RNA". It matches the Rfam family "Bacterial small subunit ribosomal RNA", at positions 28 to 507 of the family's 1533-position model. The record is from RNAcentral.
GACGAACGCUGGCGGCGUGCCUAAUACAUGCAAGUAGAACGCUGAAGGAGGAGCUUGCUUUUCUGGAUGAGUUGCGAACGGGUGAGUAACGCGUAGGUAACCUGCCUGGUAGCGGGGGAUAACUAUUGGAAACGAUAGCUAAUACCGCAUAACAGUAGAUGUUGCAUGACAUUUACUUAAAAGGUGCAAUUGCAUCACUACCAGAUGGACCUGCGUUGUAUUAGCUAGUUGGUGGGGUAACGGCUCACCAAGGCGACGAUACAUAGCCGACCUGAGAGGGUGAUCGGCCACACUGGGACUGAGACACGGCCCAGACUCCUACGGGAGGCAGCAGUAGGGAAUCUUCGGCAAUGGACGGAAGUCUGACCGAGCAACGCCGCGUGAGUGAAGAAGGUUUUCGGAUCGUAAAGCUCUGUUGUAAGAGAAGAACGAGUGUGAGAGUGGAAAGUUCACACUGUGACGGUAUCUUACCAGAAAGGGACGGCUAACUACGUG